RNAcentral lists this transfer RNA (68 nucleotides) under Marmota monax (woodchuck). RNAcentral describes it as "tRNA.Ala". The record is from RNAcentral. Lineage: Eukaryota; Metazoa; Chordata; Mammalia; Rodentia; Sciuridae.
GUUGUGGCUCAGUGGUAGAGUGCUCACCUAGCAUGCGUGAGGCACAGAGUUCGAUCCUUAGCACAACA